Molecule: long non-coding RNA, 1835 nt
Organism: Galleria mellonella (greater wax moth)
Lineage: Eukaryota; Metazoa; Arthropoda; Insecta; Lepidoptera; Pyralidae
Exons: 4
Source: RefSeq, a predicted model, not a curated record
GGUAUGCAACAGGAAUCCAUGAAGCCUUUAGCUAUUUUUCUCUUUCAUCGAAGAUUGCCGCUUUUUAUCAAGUGGGUCGCUUGCUUGUUCAUCAUUCCAAUAUGCUUUCAAAAGAGGCUUCUAAAAAAACAUUUAUUUUUAGUGUGUAAUGUGUCUACAUUAUUAUAUAACGAUAGUAGUACAUAAUUUCAAUUGCACACCAACUCUAAUAAACAGAACAAUCCAAGUGAUAAAAGUUGGAAAAUUUUACAAAUUAGGUUCGGCACAUAUCAAAAUAAAAUAGUAAUUUUUUUUACUCUGCGAUGGUGAUUUAAUAGAUUUCCAAAGAAAAAAAUAUUUUUUUGUGCGGCGAAAGUAAUAAAAAGUAUUCAAUUGAUUGCGGUGCGGGACGAGGUCUGGACCGAUUCGUGGCCCACGUGCAAUACACAUGAAAAAUGGCCACUAAAUCACGGCUACGGAACCCUCGGCUAGCGAAGGCGAUUUCUUCUAACCAAACCCAUAUAAAUAUAAAGGUAGAACGUAACUAAGCAACUACAUUACAUGGCUAGUAUUUUUACGCUCGAUUGCUACGUUACUACUACUAUUCAUUUAAUUUAUCCGACUGCCGAAGAAAGGAGGCUAUGUUUUUCAGAUGUAUGAAGGUAUAUUACGGAUAUAAUAAUUAACUAUCAUAUGUUAUUAAACAAAAUUCUUUUGUUUGCCAAGAAAAAUAUACGAGCAUUAAGCGAUUAAUUUGAGAAUCUCUUGAAGAUCAAUUAGCUCCGCGAUAAAGAUUUCACAAGCGGUGCAGCCUGCCGGUUGCAUUACAGUUGAACGAGAAUUAAACCGUGCAGCUGAAAAGGUUUAAGAUGAAUGAGAACCGUGUGCGCUUACAAUGCAACAACAGUUUAGAAACAACUUAUUCCUGUAGAGCGCAUGUAAACAGUCUGUACUUUAUGUAUACAGCACUAUUUAUAGUUAGGCGCCAUGGUCCGUAAUAAGAAUCCUUUACGUCUGCAUGAAAUUAUACAGAGAAAGCGAAUAAUAGAUGCGAUUUAAAACAAAUCUAUUUGCAUAAAGAUGAUUUUAAAUAUCAAUAUUAGAAAAUAAAAAGAUUUGAUAGUUAAUGUAACAAGAGGACGUUUGUUAGUUUAUGUCACUUCCUUUUUUGUCAACCCUAUAAUUGAUACACUUCAAUGUCCAGCCGUAAAUGUUACGUCUGGAAUUACGAAUUUUCUCAGGAGUUCGUUAUAGUUAGCUAUAACAUUACUAAUUACUGAUUAGGGAAAGAAUACUCGAAAACUCCCACCGGAUUUGUGCGAGAAAUUGUAAUUUAUUUGUAGAUAUUUGAAUAUCUACAUAAUAAUGAUAUAUAACUGUAAAUAUUUAGAAUGUAUAAGUUUAUCUGUCAAUAUACAGAUGCAAUAGAGAGGAGGGGUUCGACGCGCACCGUCUGAACAGGAAAUGGCCCGCAGAUGAGUUGCGACGUAACCCUUAAGCCUCUACCACACCGGCGCCAUAAAUUGUCGAUAUCUAUUAUCGCAAUGCCUUAUUGUUAUAUCAGCGUAAUACCAAUGUAUAUAAUUAUUAUUUUCAUCUAAAUUGGGUUUAAUAGAGCCUAAUUUGUUUAAAUUAAAAAUCUCCUGUAUAGAAAAGUCUAUAAAAUUAUCAUUUUUUUUUGUAACUUAACAAAAGUGUGUUUAGUGUGGAGGAGUGUUUACAAUCACUAAAUAGUUUUUUAAAAAUCAAAGCUAGUACUUAAUUUAGUAGUAAUGUAGUGACAUACUCAUUUUUUAUAUAAUUGAUAAAUAGUUGUAUGGAAAUCUGUGAUUUUCAAAGCAAAAAGCAUGAUUUUA